Molecule: long non-coding RNA, 7797 nt
Filed under: Volvox carteri
Lineage: Eukaryota; Viridiplantae; Chlorophyta; Chlorophyceae; Chlamydomonadales; Volvocaceae
Description: long non-coding RNA (VCAR_LNC003451)
Source: RNAcentral
CCGAUGCGGCAACAGCGGCGGCGGCGUCGCCUUUGGUGAUGCCGCCGCCGGCGGAGCUGUCGUCUUCUUCCCCCACCCGUCCAUUGAUCCUCCUCCUCCACACGUUACUUCAACUGCCGCCGAUGCGGCAACAGUGGCGGCGGCGUCGCCUUUGGUGAUGCCGCCGCCGGCGGAGCUGUCGUCUUCUUCCCCCAUCCGUCCAUUGAUCAUCCUCCUCCACACGUCACUUCAACUGCCGCCGUUGCGGCAACAGCGGCGGCGGCGUCGCCUUUGGUGAUGCCGCCGCCGGCGGAGCUUUCAUCAUCUUCCCCCAUCCGUCCAUUGAUCAUCCUCCUCCACACGUCACUUCAACUGCCGCCGUUGCGGCAACAGUGGCGGCGGCGUCGCCUUUGGUGAUGCCGCCGCCGGCGGAGCUGUCGUCAUCUUCCCCCAUCCGUCCAUUGAUCAUCCUCCUCCACACGUCACUUCAACUGCCGCCGAUGCGGCAACAGGGGCGGCGGCGUCGCCUUUGGUGAUGUUGCCGCCGGCGGAGCUGUCGUCUUCUUCCCCCAUCCGUCCAUUGAUCAUCCUCCUCCACACGUCACUUCAACUGCCGCCGUUGCGGCAACAGUGGCGGCGGCGUCGCCUUUGGUGAUGCCGACGCCGGCGGAGCUGUCGUCUUCUUCCCCCAUCCGUCCAUUGAUCCUCCUCCUCCACACGUCACUUCAACUGCCGCUGUUGCGGCAACAGCGGCGGGGGCGUCGCCUUUGGUGAUGCCGCCGCCGGCGGAGCUGUCGUCUUCUUCCCCCAUCCGUCCAUUGAUCCUCCUCCUCCACACGUUACUUCAACUGCCGCCGAUGCGGCAACAGUGGCGGCGGCGUCGCCUUUGGUGAUGCCGCCGCCGGCGGAGCUUUCAUCAUCUUCCCCCAUCCGUCCAUUGAUCCUCCUCCUCCACACAUCACUUCAACUGCCGCCGUUGCGGCAACAGUGGCGGCGGCGUCGCCUUUGGUGAUGCCGCCGCCGGCGGAGCUGUCGUCUUCUUCCCGCAUCCGUCCAUUGAUCAUCCUCCUCCACACGUCACUUUAACAGCCGCCGAUGCGGCAACAGCGGCGGCGGCGUCGCCUUUGGUGAUGCCGCCGCCGGCGGAGCUGUCGUCUUCUUCCCCCACCCGUCCAUUGAUCCUCCUCCUCAACACGUUACUUCAACUGCCGCCGAUGCGGCAACAGCGGCGGCGGCGUCGCCUUUGGUGAUGCCGCCGCCGGCGGAGCUGUCGUCUUCUUCCCCCAUCCGUCCAUUGAUCAUCCUCCUCCACACGUCACUUCAACUGCCGCCGAUGCGGCAACAGCGGCGGCGGCGUCGCCUUUGGUGAUGCAGCCGCCGGCGGAGCUGUCGUCUUCUUCCCCCACCCGUCCAUUGAUCCUCCUCCUCCACACGUUACUUAAUAUAUUGUAUAUUGUGGUUACAGUGUUUCCGCCGCCGACGCGGCGGGUGCCCUCACGAGCCGUGAGGCUCCAGAGCACGCUGUUGACGCUCAUCAAAAACCUCAGUAAGGAAAGUAGCGAUUUUCCUCGGAUUGGUACUAAGAAAUACCUUGCGCAUAUCAGUAUCUUCAACGUUAAUCAGAAACCUAUUACGCAACUCAGUAUACGCCUCACACUCCAUAAGCACAUGAUAUUCAUCCUCAACCUUACCCGACGUACAGACCUGACACGUACGGCACUCUCUCGGCCUAUGGUGUCCUUUGUUGACCUCCAAAGGCCAACAACAAAGACGGAAUUUGGCAACCAUACGCAACUGGUUGACCGGCAAAUAAACACGCAAAUAGCCUGUGGGAUCGGAGCCCUCUCUUGCUGGUGAAGGGGAGCCCAUCCAGUUAUGAUACCUGCAAAGCGAAACCCCUUUACCUUGGAACACACGCGGAUCACCCCCUUGGCUGAACUGAUCCCAGUCACUUAAAAGGAACGCAGAUAACCUCUCCAGAACCUCACCCACUCGAAUCAACUGAGACGAGUAUACAUCUACCUUCUGAGAAACGGAGUCACACGCCGGCCACUCAUGGCCCAACCAACGCAAAAUGAUGAGCACUUUAGACGACCAGCAAUCCACUUUGAGAUCAGACAGAAGAGCCAGACGGAGAUCAUCUACUAACACGUCAUGAUAGACCGACCCACGGGACUUGACUAUCUUAUUCCAGAAACACAACGCAAGGCGUAACCAAAAGUACUGCAAAGGCAACUGAGACAGCUCCCUGUACAACAGCUUGUAAGGUACCUGCUUGAGCCCAGCACAACGUAAACAGAAGUCACGCUGGACCUGGACCAUACCAUCUUCCAAAGCCAAAUCAAAAUAUGACUUACCAGCGGGUAAAACACCUUAACCUAACCGCAGGACGGAGACAAUCCUAUCAGGACCCCAGACCUCAGCACCAUAACAGAGAACCGAACGGACCUGGGUGUCGAACGCUUGAAGCCGAACGGCAGGAGCCCACACCCUGUUCUCAUCCAACCGAUUACUAAGACCGAACAUAGCCCGUCGCCCUGCUUCCAAAAGUUCGUUGACACAACUCGCAAACGGGGACGCAGGGCCCCAAUAGAGACCCAAGUACCUAACGCGACCACACCAGUUAAUAGGACUAGGAACAAGUAAACUACCAACCAUGGGUGGGUGCCAAAGCGACCCAUCAGUACGGAGAGGGAGCAUGAGCCUCACCCCCUCAAACGCCCUCUUAACGACAUCAACGGAAGCAGCCACAACAAGGGCCUCACAUUUCCGAACGUUGCAGCGCAUACCAAAAGCAGCACAGAACUCAAUAAGCAGCUUAAGCGAGAACUGGAGGCGUGCCAACGAGGUCGCGAACAAAGUAAGGUCGUCUGCAUAGAACAACAGAGGCAACCGACGAUCAUUAAUGACAGGACAUUCGUGUGCACGUGUGUUGAACCAUUCGUCCAUACCAUCCCUCGCUUCAAGGUAGUCGGCAAUAACCUCAAUGAAGAACCCGAACAAAUUGGGACUCAUGGGACACCCCUGCUUCACGCCCUGCAGAGAGGCAAAGAUGGACCCUAGGCGACCGUUAACCUUGACCCGCUGGAGAACACGUUCGUAGCUGGCUUUAAGGGCCGCCAACAUGGGUCCAUGCACACCCCUCUCCUCUAGACGCUGCCACAGGCUCGCCCGGGGCACUCUAUCAAAGGCUUUCUCAAAAUCCACCUGACACGCAUACAGGGCCUGAUUGCUGCCGGGCCGCUCAUAACGACUUUUAAGAUGACGAACAACGAACAACUGAUGAACUGUACUGCGCUUUUGACGGGACCCAGCCUGAAAACGGCACCGGACACCAUCUUUAUCCCCGAAAGCUGCCAGCCGCCUGUCGAGAACCGUGGCAUAGCAUUUGGCAAUGGCGCAUCCCACAGCUAGACCCCUGUAGUUGUCCUUGACCCUGGGGUCGCCUUUCUUAAAUAACGGACUGAGAGACGCCACGCAAAACUGGUCAGGCACAUCCCCUGUAUCCCAAAUGUGCUGGAAAAGGUCUCGAAUCGCAGGGGCAAUAACAUUGACAGACACCCUGUCCUCAUCACCUUCACGAGGGAUUCGCUUGGCAUACUUGUAGCACUCGGCCGGAACCAUACCCAGACCCGGGGACGCCCAUUAGACANNNNNNNNNNNNNNNNNNNNNNNNNNNNNNNNNNNNNNNNNNNNNNNNNNAACAGCGGCGGCGGCGUCGCCUUUGGUGAUGCCGCCGCCGGCGGAGCUGUCGUCUUCUUCCCCCACCCGUCCAUUGAUCCUCCUCCUCAACACGUUACUUCAACUGCCGCCGAUGCGGCAACAGCGGCGGCGGCGUCGCCUUUGGUGAUGCCGUCGCCGGCGGAGCUUUCAUCAUCUUCCCCCAUCCGUCCAUUGAUCAUCCUCCUCCACACGUCACUUCAACUGCCGCCGUUGCGGCAACAGUGGCGGCGGCGUCGCCUUUGGUGAUGCCGCCGCCGGCGGAGCUUUCAUCAUCUUCCCCCAUCCGUCCAUUGAUCAUCCUUCUCCACACGUUACUUCAACUGCCGCCGUUGCGGCAACAGCGGCGGCGGCCUCGCCUUUGGUGAUGCCGCCGCCGGCGGAGCUGUCGUCUUCUUCCCCCAUCCGUCCAUUGAUCAUCCUCCUCCACACGUCACUUCAACUGCCGCCGAUGCGGCAACAGCGGCGGCGGCGUCGCCUUUGGUGAUGCCGCCGCCGGCGGAGCUGUCGUCUUCUUCCCCCAUCCGUCCAUUGAUCCUCCUCCUCCACACGUCACUUCAACUGCCGCCGAUGCGGCAACAGCGGCGGCGGCGUCGCCUUUGGUGAUGCCGCCGCCGGCGGAGCUUUCAUCAUCUUCCCCCAUCCGUCCAUUGAUCAUCCUCCUCCACACGUCACUUCAACUGCCGCCGAUGCGGCAACAGCGGCGGCGGCGUCGCCUUUGGUGAUGCCGCCGCCGGCGGAGCUGUCGUCUUCUUCCCCCAUCCGUCCAUUGAUCCUCCUCCUCCACACGUUACUUCAACUGCCGCCGAUGCGGCAACAGUGGCGGCGGCGUCGCCUUUGGUGAUGCCGCCGCCGGCGGAGCUGUCGUCUUCUUCCCCCAUCCGUCCAUUGAUCAUCCUCCUCCACACGUCACUUCAACUGCCGCCGAUGCGNNNNNNNNNNNNNNNNNNNNNNNNNNNNNNNNNNNNNNNNNNNNNNNNNNNNNNNNNNNNNNNNNNNCCGAAAGCUGCCAGCCGCCUGUCGAGAACCGUGGCAUAGCAUUUGGCAAUGGCGCAUCCCACAGCUAGACCCCUGUAGUUAUCCUUGACCCUGGGGUCGCCGUUUCUUAAAUAACGGACUGAGAGACGCCACGCAAAACUGGUCAGGCACAUCCCCUGUAUCCCAAAUGUGCUGGAAAAGGUCUCGAAUCGCAGGGGCAAUAACAUUGACAGACACCCUGUCCUCAUCACCUUCACGAGGGAUUCGCUUGGCAUACUUGUAGCACUCGGCCGGAACCAUACCCAGACCCGGGGAACGCCCAUUAGACAGGGACGACAAAGCCGCCUCAACCUCUUCAAGAGUGAACGGACCAUUCAUAGUGUCGGCCAUAGACCGUCUAGCAUGCACCGGUUCGGAAUCACGCCACGCCGCCCCGACUUGGGAGCCCGCACCGAGAUUGAUACAGUUGAGAAUGGCACAGACACGGGCCUCCUGCACCUCAUCGAAGGAGGCUGAGGCAUUAUAAAGGCGAUCGAAGUAGUCCGUCCACUCCGACACGUCUUCCACAUUGCAUCUGGACGCUGGCUUACCGUUCAGACGUUGCCAUAGGGUCUUCGCAUCACGUUUGCAUGUAGCUAUGAAUGACUCCAAGGCUCGCAGCCGGUGAUCCCGUCGCGCGUUACGCUUAGCACGAUUAAACUGACGACGUAACUCUUGAAAACUCGUAUGCCCCACGGCCGGGGCAGCACACCCCCACUUCAUCACAUCAGACCGAUACUGCAGCAUGGCCUGCUUAGCCGCAGCACACUCAUCAUUCCACCACGCCGCCUUGCCGUUAGAAACCGGCCCGGGCCUGAAGGCAUCACCGAAGCAACCCAGCAAAAUCCGUUCGAUAGUGUCCACCGCCUGGGUGACACCAAUCUGGCCAGCACGCAGGGAAUCCACAACCGCCCGGACACCAACCACAGGGGGGGCCUCCACUUAAACUGCCGCCGAUGCGGCAACAGUGGCGGCGGCGUCGCCUUUGGUGAUGCCGCCGCCGGCGGAGCUGUCGUCUUCUUCCCCCAUCCGUCCAUUGAUCAUCCUCCUCCACACGUUACUUCAACUGCCGCCGUUACGGCAACAGCGGCGGCGGCGUCGCCUUUGGUGAUGCCGCCGCCGGCGGAGCUUUCAUCAUCUUCCCCCAUCCGUCCAUUGAUCAUCAAGCGCCACACGUCACUUCAACUGCCGCCGAUGCGGCAACAGUGGCGGCGGCGUCGCCUUUGGUGAUGCAGCCGCCGGCGGAGCUGUCGUCUUCUUCCCCCAUCCGUCCAUGCAUGAUCCUCCUCCUCAACACGUUACUUCAACUGCCGCCGACGCGGCAACAGCGGCGGCGGCGUCUCCUUUGGUGAUGCCGCCGCCGGCGGAGCUGUCGUCUUCUUCCCCCAUCCGUCCAUUGAUCAUCCUCCUCCACACGUCACUUUACCUGCCGCCGAUGCGGCAACAGCGGCGGCGGCGUCGCCUUUGGUGAUGCCGCCGCCGGCGGAGCUGUCGUCUUCUUCCCCCAUCCCUCCAUGCAUGAUCAUCCUCCUCCAGACGUUACUUCAACUGCCGCCGAUGCGGCAACAGCGGCGGCGGCGUCGCCUUUGGUGAUGCCGCCGCCGGCGGAGCUGUCGUCUUCUUCCCCCACCCGUCCAUUGAUCCUCCUCCUCAACACGUUACUUCAACUGCCGCCGAUGCGGCAACAGCGGCGGCGGCGUCGCCUUUGGUGAUGCCGCCGCCGGCGGAGCUGUCGUCUUCUUCCCCCAUCCGUCCAUUGAUCCUCCUCCUCAACACGUUACUUCAACUGCCGCCGAUGCGGCAACAGUGGCGGCGGCGUCGCCUUUGGUGAUGCCGCCGCCGGCGGAGCUGUCGUCUUCUUCCCCCAUCCGUCCAUUGAUCCUCCUCCUCCACACGUCACUUCAACUGCCGCCGAUGCGGCAACAGCGGCGGCGGCGUCUCCUUUGGUGAUGCCGCCGCCGGCGGAGCUGUCGUCUUCUUCCCCCAUCCGUCCAUUGAUCAUCCUCCUCCACACGUCACUUUACCUGCCGCCGACGCGGCAACAGCGGCGGCGGCGUCGCCUUUGGUGAUGCCGCCGCCGGCGGAGCUGUCGUCUUCUUCCCCCAUCCCUCCAUGCAUGAUCAUCCUCCUCCAGACGUUACUUCAACUGCCGCCGAUGCGGCAACAGCGGCGGCGGCGUCGCCUUUGGUGAUGCCGCCGCCGGCGGAGCUGUCGUCUUCUUCCCCCACCCGUCCAUUGAUCCUCCUCCUCAACACGUUACUUCAACUGCCGCCGAUGCGGCAACAGUGGCGGCGGCGUCGCCUUUGGUGAUGCAGCCGCCGGCGGAGCUGUCGUCUUCUUCCCCCAUCCGUCCAUUGAUCAUCCUCCUCCACACGAUACUUCAACUGCCGCCGAUGCGGCAACAGUGGCGGCGGCGUCGCCUUUGGUGAUGCCGCCGCCGGCGGAGCUGUCGUCUUCUUCCCCCAUCCGUCCAUUGAUCCUCCUCCUCCACACGAUACUUCAACUGCCGCCGAUGCGGCAACAGUGGCGGCGGCGUCGCCUUUGGUGAUGCCGCCGCCGGCGGAGCUGUGUCUUCUUCCCCCAUCCGUCCAUUGAUCAUCAAGCGCCACACGUCACUUCAACGGCCGCCGAUGCGGCAACAGCGGCGGCGGCGUCGCCUUUGGUGAUGCCGCCGUCGGCGGAGCUUUCAUCAUCUUCCCCCACCAGUCCAUUGAUCCUCCUCCUCCACACGUCACUUCAACUGCCGCCGAUGCGGCAACAGCGGCGGCGGCGUCGCCUUUGGUGAUGCCGCCGCCGGCGGAGCUGUCGUCUUCUUCCCCCACCCGUCCAUUGAUCCUCCUCCUCCACACGUUACUUCAACUGCCGCCGAUGCGGCAACAGCGGCGGCGGCGUCGCCUUUGGUGAUGCCGCCGCCGGCGGAGCUGUCGUCUUCUUCCCCCAUCCCUCCAUGCAUGAUCAUCCUCCUCCAGACGUCACUUCAACUGCCGCCGAUGCGGCAACAGCGGCGGCGGCGUCGCCUUUGGUGAUGCCGCCGCCGGCGGAGCUGUCGUCUUCUUCCCCCACCCGUCCAUUGAUCAUCCU